This 446-nucleotide ribosomal RNA is filed under the name uncultured bacterium. RNAcentral describes it as "partial 16S ribosomal RNA". It matches the Rfam family "Bacterial small subunit ribosomal RNA", at positions 338 to 795 of the family's 1533-position model. The record is from RNAcentral.
CCUACGGGUGGCAGCAGUCGAGAAUCAUUCACAAUGGGGGAAACCCUGAUGGUGCGACGCCGCGUGGGGGAAUGAAGGUCUUCGGAUUGUAAACCCCUGUCAUGUGGGAGCAAAUUAAAAAGAUAGUACCACAAGAGGAAGAGACGGCUAACUCUGUGCCAGCAGCCGCGGUAAUACAGAGGUCUCAAGCGUUGUUCGGAAUCACUGGGCGUAAGGCGUGCGUAGGCUGUUUCGUAAGUCGUGUGUGAAAGGCGCGGGCUCAACCCGCGGACGGCACAUGAUACUGCGAGACUAGAGUAAUGGAGGGGGAACCGGAAGUCUCGGUGUAGCAGUGAAAUGCGUAGAUAUCGAGAGGAACACUCGUGGCGAAGGCGGGUUCCUGGACAUUAACUGACGCUGAGGCACGAAGGCCAGGGGAGCGAAAGGGAUUAGAUACCCGGGUAGUC